GUUUAUGUAGCUUAAUUAAAGCGUGGCACUGAAGAUGCUAAGAUAUAUUUUUAAAAAUAUCAAAAACA
Molecule: transfer RNA, 68 nt
Filed under: Batrachuperus yenyuanensis (Yenyuan stream salamander)
Lineage: Eukaryota; Metazoa; Chordata; Amphibia; Caudata; Hynobiidae
Description: tRNA-Phe
Rfam family: tRNA
About the family: Transfer RNA (tRNA) molecules are approximately 80 nucleotides in length. Their secondary structure includes four short double-helical elements and three loops (D, anti-codon, and T loops).
Source: RNAcentral